AGUGAACGCUGGCGGUAGGCCUAACACAUGCAAGUCGAACGGCAGCACAGUAAGAGCUUGCUCUUACGGGUGGCGAGUGGCGGACGGGUGAGGAAUACAUCGGAAUCUACUUUUUCGUGGGGGAUAACGUCGGGAAACUUACGCUAAUACCGCAUACGACCUACGGGUGAAAGCAGGGGAUCUUCGGACCUUGCGCGAUUGAAUGAGCCGAUGUCGGAUUAGCUAGUUGGCGGGGUAAAGGCCCACCAAGGCGACGAUCCGUAGCUGGUCUGAGAGGAUGAUCAGCCACACUGGAACUGAGACACGGUCCAGACUCCUACGGGAGGCAGCAGUGGGGAAUAUUGGACAAUGGGCGCAAGCCUGAUCCAGCCAUACCGCGUGGGUGAAGAAGGCCUUCGGGUUGUAAAGCCCUUUUGUUAGGAAAGAAAAGCAGCAGGUUAAUACCCCGCUGUUCUGACGGUACCCAAAGAAUAAGCACCGGCUAACUUCGUG
This 492-nucleotide ribosomal RNA is filed under the name uncultured bacterium. RNAcentral describes it as "partial 16S ribosomal RNA". It matches the Rfam family "Bacterial small subunit ribosomal RNA", at positions 29 to 507 of the family's 1533-position model. The record is from RNAcentral.